UGAGGGAUGACGGCCUUCGGGUUGUAAACUUCUUUCAGUAGGGAAGAAGCGUAAGUGACGGUACCUGCAGAAGAAGCGCCGGCUAACUACGUGCCAGCAGCCGCGGUAAUAAGUAGGGCGCAAGCGUUAUCCGGAAUUAUUGGGCGUACAGAGCUCGUAGUCGGUUUGUCGCGUCUGCUGUGAAAGACCGGGGCUCAACUCCGGUUCUGCAGUGGGUACGGGCAGACUAGAGUGAUGUAGGGGAGACUGGAAUUCCUGGUGUAGCGGUGAAAUGCGCAGAUAUCAGGAGGAACACCGAUGGCGAAGGCAGGUCUUUGGGCAUUAACUGACGCUGAGGAGCGAAAGCAUGGGGAGCGAACAGGAUUAGAUACCCUGGUAGUCCAUGCCGUAAACGUUGGGCAGUAGGUGUGGGGGACAUUCCACGUUUUCCGCGCCGUAGCUAACGCAUUAAGUGCCCCGCCUGGGGAGUACGGCCGCAAGGCUAAAACUCAAAGGAAUUGACGGGGGCCCGCACAAGCGGCGGAGCAUGCGGAUUAAUUCGAUGCAACGCGAAGAACCUUACCAAGGCUUGACAUGGACCGGAUCGCCGCAGAAAUGUGGUUUCCCUUCGGGGCUGGUUCACAGGUGGUGCAUGGUUGUCGUCAGCUCGUGUCGUGAGAUGUUGGGUUAAGUCCCGCAACGAGCGCAACCCUCGUUCCAUGUUGCCAGCGGGUUAUGCCGGGGACUCAUGGGAGACUGCCGGGGUCAACUCGGAGGAAGGUGGGGACGACGUCAAAUCAUCAUGCCCCUUAUGUCUUGGGCUUCACGCAUGCUACAAUGGCCGGUACAAUGGGUUGCGAUACUGUGAGGUGGAGCUAAUCCCAAAAAGCCGGUCUCAGUUCGGAUUGGGGUCUGCAACUCGACCCCAUGAAGUCGGAGUCGCUAGUAAUCGCAGAUCAGCAACGCUGCGGUGAAUACGUUCCCGGGCCUUGUACACACCGCCCGUCAAGUCACGAAAGUUGGUAACACCCGAAGCC
RNAcentral lists this ribosomal RNA (1016 nucleotides) under Arthrobacter sp. RNAcentral describes it as "bacterial SSU rRNA". It matches the Rfam family "Bacterial small subunit ribosomal RNA", at positions 402 to 1428 of the family's 1533-position model. The record is from RNAcentral. Lineage: Bacteria; Bacillati; Actinomycetota; Actinomycetes; Micrococcales; Micrococcaceae.